GCAGAACGCGAAGAACCUUACCUGGGUUUGACAUGGCCGCAAAACCGGCAGAGAUGUCGGGUCCUUCGGGGGCGGUCACAGGUGGUGCAUGGCUGUCGUCAGCUCGUGUCGUGAGAUGUUGGGUUAAGUCCCGCAACGAGCGCAACCCUCGUUCGAUGUUGCCAGCGGUUCGGCCGGGGACUCAUCGAAGACUGCCGGGGUCAACUCGGAGGAAGGUGGGGAUGACGUCAAGUCAUCAUGCCCCUUAUGUCCAGGGCUUCACGCAUGCUACAAUGGCCGGUACAAUGGGCUGCGAUACCGUGAGGUGGAGCGAAUCCCAAAAAAGCCGGUCUCAGUUCGGAUCGGGGUCUGCAACUCGACCCCGUGAAGUCGGAGUCGCUAGUAAUCGCAGAUCAGCAACGCUGCGGUGAAUACGUUCCCGGGUCUUGUACACACCG
This 437-nucleotide ribosomal RNA is filed under the name uncultured bacterium. RNAcentral's name for it is "bacterial SSU rRNA". It matches the Rfam family "Bacterial small subunit ribosomal RNA", at positions 954 to 1392 of the family's 1533-position model. The record is from RNAcentral.